AAGCCAUGGUGAGGACAAUCGCGUUCGUAGUCCUUGAAUCGUUCCCAUGCUUCGUGAAAUGAUUCAACAGGUCCUUGUUGGAACCUUGCAGCUUGUUUCUUAGAGAAU
RNAcentral lists this small nucleolar RNA (108 nucleotides) under Arabidopsis lyrata subsp. lyrata. Its description in RNAcentral is "Plant small nucleolar RNA R71". It matches the Rfam family "Plant small nucleolar RNA R71". From Rfam's summary of the family: R71 is a member of the C/D box family of snoRNAs containing the C (UGAUGA) and D (CUGA) box motifs. The record is from Rfam by way of RNAcentral. Lineage: Eukaryota; Viridiplantae; Streptophyta; Magnoliopsida; Brassicales; Brassicaceae.